UGGUUAAGUGACUAAGCGUACACGGUGGAUGCCUUGGCAGUCAGAGGCGAUGAAAGACGUAGUAACUUGCGAUAAGCCCAGAUUAGGUAGUAACAACCAUUUGAGUCUGGGAUUUCUGAAUGGGGAAACCCACGUGCAUAAGCACGUAUCGUUAUGUGAAUACAUAGCAUAACGAGGCGAACCGGGGGAACUGAAACAUCUAAGUACCCCGAGGAAAAGAAAUCAACCGAGAUUCCGAAAGUAGCGGCGAGCGAAAUUGGACUAGCCCUUAAGCUUUACACGCGUUAGACGAACGGUCUGGAAAGUCCGACGAUACAGGGUGAUAGUCCCGUAGUUGACGACGUGUGUUCAGUGAAAUCGAGUAGGGCGGGACACGUGAUAUCCUGUCUGAAUAUGGGGGGACCAUCCUCCAAGGCUAAAUACUACUGACUGACCGAUAGUGAACCAGUACCGUGAGGGAAAGGCGAAAAGAACCCCUGUGAGGGGAGUGAAAUAGAACCUGAAACCGUGUACGUACAAGCAGUAGGAGCAGGCUUUGUCCUGUGACUGCGUACCUUUUGUAUAAUGGGUCAGCGACUUAUAUUCAGUGGCAAGGUUAACCAUCUAGGGGAGCCGUAGGGAAACCGAGUCUUAACUGGGCGUUCAGUCUCUGGAUAUAGACCCGAAACCAGGUGAUCUAGCCAUGGGCAGGUUGAAGGUUGAGUAACAUCAACUGGAGGACCGAACCGACUAAUGUUGAAAAAUUAGCGGAUGACUUGUGGCUAGGGGUGAAAGGCCAAUCAAACCUGGAGAUAGCUGGUUCUCCCCGAAAGCUAUUUAGGUAGCGCCUCGGACGAAUACUACUGGGGGUAGAGCACUGUUAAGGCUAGGGGGUCAUCCCGACUUACCAACCCUUUGCAAACUCCGAAUACCAGUAAGUACUAUCCGGGAGACACACGGCGGGUGCUAACGUCCGUCGUGGAGAGGGAAACAACCCAGACCGCCAGCUAAGGUCCCAAAUUACUACUAAGUGGGAAACGAUGUGGGAAGGCUCAGACAGCCAGGAUGUUGGCUUAGAAGCAGCCAUCAUUUAAAGAAAGCGUAAUAGCUCACUGGUCGAGUCGGCCUGCGCGGAAGAUGUAACGGGGCUAAGUAGUAAACCGAAGCUGCGGCAAUAUACUUUUGUAUAUUGGGUAGGGGAGCGUUCUGUAAGCGGUUGAAGGUGUGUGGUAACGCAUGCUGGACGUAUCAGAAGUGCGAAUGCUGACAUGAGUAACGAUAAAGGGGGUGAAAAACCUCCUCGCCGGAAGACCAAGGGUUCCUGUCCAACGUUAAUCGGGGCAGGGUAAGUCGACCCCUAAGGCGAGGCCGAAAGGCGUAGUCGAUGGGAAACGGGUUAAUAUUCCCGUACUUCUUACAAUUGCGAUGGGGGGACGGAGAAGGCUAGGUGGGCCUGGCGACGGUUGUC
RNAcentral lists this ribosomal RNA (1447 nucleotides) under Vibrio parahaemolyticus. RNAcentral describes it as "partial 23S ribosomal RNA". It matches the Rfam family "Bacterial large subunit ribosomal RNA", at positions 1 to 1506 of the family's 2925-position model. Lineage: Bacteria; Pseudomonadati; Pseudomonadota; Gammaproteobacteria; Vibrionales; Vibrionaceae. The record is from RNAcentral.